This is a non-coding RNA of Heterocephalus glaber (naked mole-rat), 293 nucleotides long. The record is from Rfam. Lineage: Eukaryota; Metazoa; Chordata; Mammalia; Rodentia; Bathyergidae.
GGAUGUGAGGGCAAUCUGGCUGCAAUAUCAGUCAUGCCAUUGAUUGCCAGGGUUGAUUCAGCUGAUCUGGCUGGCUAGGUGAAUGUCCCUUCCUCCCUCACUGCUCCAUGUGCAUCCCUCCUGAAGCUGCCUGCUUGGUAGAAGAAGUUCCCCACAGAGGAAGACCAUUUCUUCAAUCAAGGGUAUACUAGUAGCUGCAUUUCCCUGCUAGAACCUCCAAACAAGGUCUCAAGAAUACACUGUUCCAGCUCACACUUCCAGUGAUCACGUCCUUCAGUGAGGUCUCACCUAAU